Molecule: ribosomal RNA, 449 nt
Filed under: uncultured bacterium
Lineage: Bacteria
Description: partial 16S ribosomal RNA
Rfam family: Bacterial small subunit ribosomal RNA
Source: RNAcentral
AUUGAACGCUGGCGGCAUGCCUUACACAUGCAAGUCGAACGCCCUAGCAAUAGGGAGUGGCAGACGGGUGAGUAACACGUGGGAACGUGCCCUUCGGUUCGGAAUAACUCAGGGAAACUUGAGCUAAUACCGGAUACGUGCGAGAGCAGAAAGAUUUAUCGCCGAAGGAUCGGCCCGCGUCCGAUUAGCUAGUUGGUGAGGUAAUGGCUCACCAAGGCGACGAUCGGUAGCUGGUCUGAGAGGAUGACCAGCCACACUGGGACUGAGACACGGCCCAGACUCCUACGGGAGGCAGCAGUGGGGAAUAUUGGACAAUGGGCGCAAGCCUGAUCCAGCCAUGCCGCGUGAGUGAUGAAGGCCCUAGGGUUGUAAAGUUCUUUCGCCAGGGACGAUAAUGACGGUACCUGGAUAAGAAGCCCCGGCUAACUUCGUGCCAGCAGCCGCGGUAA